This 441-nucleotide long non-coding RNA is filed under the name Nicotiana benthamiana. Its description in RNAcentral is "long non-coding RNA (NBEN_LNC014169)". Lineage: Eukaryota; Viridiplantae; Streptophyta; Magnoliopsida; Solanales; Solanaceae. The record is from RNAcentral.
CUGAACCGGUCCAUGAAAUUCGACGCCAUAUUUACCCAGUUAGACCAUUUCUUGGGAUCCUGGCUGAUGUACCAAGACAAAGAAUCUUCAGUAAGACUCCUCAUAAAGAGUUUCUUCCGGAUCUUUUCAUCCUUUCCAACCCCGACGAGCUUGUCACAAUAUGACCUCAAAUGAACCCUGGGACACCUGUACCAUCAAACAUCUCGAACUUGGGAGGUUUAUACCCUUUUGGGAGUUCUAAGUCUAGUUGUAUGCAUAGGUCUUCAUAGUUAAACCCUUCUAUUCAUUUGCCACCUUCGACACCCUGAACUCAGCUCGUCAACUUCUUGAGUUCUUCAACCAUGCUUUUAAUGAGCAGGUUCUUCUUGGAGGAUUCCACUAUAUAGGAGUUUGGUUGGAUAGUGUGAGGUACGAUUUCUACGUAUAUAAUGUUGCUUUGAU